GUUCUUGAUUUCUCCGAAAUUGAAUCAAAACAAUCGUUUCCUAGAGAGUCAAAGUUCCAGUCUUUACUACCAGAUUCUCUUCUUCUUCAGAUGGGUUUCUCGGAAAAGCCAAAGAAGACGAAGAAGGAAACGAAAUCAUCCAGCUUCCGUCAACUGGUGUGAACCCUGUGAAAUUCGCGAUAUGCGUUGUGUUGUGGGCUACGUUCUCUUUGCUUUGGUUUGCUAGGUCUGGAGAUGCCAAAGCGGCUACUGAUUCAAUCAAAUCGUCGAGCUUUGGUCUCAGAAUCGCCGCCACUCUUCGCCAGUUUGGUUGGCCAGACGAAGCUGUGGUGUUUGCUUUAGCCACACUUCCGGUUAUUGAGCUCCGUGGUGCUAUUCCCGUUGGUUAUUGGAUGCAGCUGAAACCUAUGGUUCUCACUUUCUUCUCUGUUCUUGGGCUCUGAGCUCGGUUUUGAAAUCAGCUGGACUAGCGAGGAUCAAACCAGAGACAUUAGGCUGACUUGUAGCUGGAUUGAUGUAAAACUGUGUAGCAAGCUCAGCGGUUUUCUU
Molecule: non-coding RNA, 549 nt
Organism: Camelina sativa (false flax)
Lineage: Eukaryota; Viridiplantae; Streptophyta; Magnoliopsida; Brassicales; Brassicaceae
Source: RefSeq, a predicted model, not a curated record